GAUGAACGCUGGCGGCGUGCCUAACACAUGCAAGUCGAGCGAACCCUUCGGGGUGAGCGGCGGACGGGUGAGUAACGCGUGGGUAACCUGCCCUAUACACACGGAUAACGUACCGAAAGGUACGCUAAUACGGGAUAAUAUUGUUGGAUGGCAUCUUCUAACUAUCAAAGCUCCGGCGGUAUAGGAUGGACCCGCGUCUGAUUAGCUAGUUGGUGAGGUAAUGGCUCACCAAGGCGACGAUCAGUAGCCGACCUGAGAGGGUGAUCGGCCACACUGGAACUGAGACACGGUCCAGACUCCUACGGGAGGCAGCAGUGGGGAAUAUUGCACAAUGGGCGAAAGCCUGAUGCAGCAACGCCGCGUGAGCGAUGAAGGUCUUCGGAUCGUAAAGCUCUGUCCUCAAGGAAGAUAAUGACGGUACUUGAGGAGGAAGCCCCGGCUAACUACGUGCCAGCCGCCGCUGUAA
Molecule: ribosomal RNA, 466 nt
Filed under: uncultured bacterium
Lineage: Bacteria
Description: partial 16S ribosomal RNA
Rfam family: Bacterial small subunit ribosomal RNA
Source: RNAcentral